UCAGACUUGAAGUCCUUGUGCCUCUGGUU
Molecule: non-coding RNA, 29 nt
Filed under: Rattus norvegicus (Norway rat)
Lineage: Eukaryota; Metazoa; Chordata; Mammalia; Rodentia; Muridae
Source: RNAcentral